RNAcentral lists this ribosomal RNA (253 nucleotides) under uncultured bacterium. RNAcentral's name for it is "partial 16S ribosomal RNA". It matches the Rfam family "Bacterial small subunit ribosomal RNA", at positions 524 to 776 of the family's 1533-position model. The record is from RNAcentral.
GACGUAGGUCCCGAGCGUUGCCCGGUUUUACUGGGCGUAAAGUGCGCGUAGGCGGUUCGGCAAGUCGACUGUGAAAUUCCGGGGCUCAACCCCGGGGUGCCGGGUGAAACUGCCGGCCUAGAGGACGGCAGGGGAGGGUGGAGCGGCCGGAGUAGCGGUGAAAUGCGUAGAUACCUGCUGAAGUACCGAUGGCGAAGGCAACCCUCUCGACCGUUCCUGACGCUUAGGCGCGAAAGCGUGGGGAGCGAACUGG